GACGAACGCUGGCGGCGUGCUUAACACAUGCAAGUCGAACGGAAAGGCCCUGCUUUUGUGGGGUGCUCGAGUGGCGAACGGGUGAGUAACACGUGAGUAACCUGCCCUUGACUUUGGGAUAACUUCAGGAAACUGGGGCUAAUACCGGAUAGGAGCUCCUGCUGCAUGGUGGGGGUUGGAAAGUUUCGGCGGUUGGGGAUGGACUCGCGGCUUAUCAGCUUGUUGGUGGGGUAGUGGCUUACCAAGGCUUUGACGGGUAGCCGGCCUGAGAGGGUGACCGGCCACAUUGGGACUGAGAUACGGCCCAGACUCCUACGGGAGGCAGCAGUGGGGAAUAUUGCACAAUGGGCGGAAGCCUGAUGCAGCAACGCCGCCUGCGGGAUGACGGCCUUCGGGUUGUAAACCGCUUUCGCCUGUGACGAAGCGUGAGUGACGGUAAUGGGUAAAGAAGCACCGGCUAACUACGUG
RNAcentral lists this ribosomal RNA (468 nucleotides) under uncultured bacterium. RNAcentral describes it as "partial 16S ribosomal RNA". It matches the Rfam family "Bacterial small subunit ribosomal RNA", at positions 28 to 507 of the family's 1533-position model. The record is from RNAcentral.